This 486-nucleotide ribosomal RNA is filed under the name uncultured bacterium. RNAcentral's name for it is "bacterial SSU rRNA". It matches the Rfam family "Bacterial small subunit ribosomal RNA", at positions 28 to 507 of the family's 1533-position model. The record is from RNAcentral.
GAUGAACGCUAGCGGCAGGCUUAACACAUGCAAGUCGAGGGUAACAGUAGAAAAGCUUGCUUUUCUGAUGACGACCGGCGCACGGGUGCGUAACGCGUAUACAACCUACCUUUUAGCGGGGAAUAGCCCAGGGAAACUUGGAUUAAUGCCCAUAGUAUAUAGACUUCUCCUGAAGUUUAUAUUAAACAUUUAUGGCUAUUAGAUGGGUAUGCGUCCUAUUAGUUAGUUGGUAAGGUAACGGCUUACCAAGGCAGCGAUAGGUAGGGGUCCUGAGAGGGAGAUCCCCACACUGGUACUGAGACACGGACCAGACUCCUACGGGAGGCAGCAGUGAGGAAUAUUGGACAAUGGGCGAGAGCCUGAUCCAGCCAUGCCGCGUGCAGGAAGACUGCCCUAUGGGUUGUAAACUGCUUUUACAGAGGAAGAACCACCCCCACGUGUGGGGGUUUGACGGUACUCUGCGAAUAAGGAUCGGCUAACUCCGUG